CCAUACUACUGUUGUCAACAGGAGAGCUAGAUUCCAAUUAUCUGAUUCAAGUGUUUCCAGUGAACUGUCAUACACAGAAGCUAACAGCAGAAUAACCUAGUUUUGUUCAUGAACCAGUGAACAAUAAAAAUAUGGAUGUAUUGCUUUGCUCAACCUUUCCUGCAAGGUGCCACCAGGACCCUCAAAACAAGUUGAAUCAGCCAACAGGCCAAGUCUCCAAUGGCAACUUUUUAAUCAGCCAGUAUAGACAUGGGUCUAACAAGUGGUUGGCUACAUUCUUUUAAGCAAGGUAUGCACAUUUUCACAUCCAACAAACUGAAACUCAUCCAUCAAUACUGGUUAUAUGGUUGCCUCAAGCAAUUCGUCAGAAACUAUCCUUGGUGUGGAUUCCAAGCUGAAGUUAGUCUGAGUCAUUUUGUCAGCAAACUGUUUUGAAAAUUUACCACCCUGAGUUUUUGAAGGUUUCUGUUCAAAAUUCUCUGGAGUCUAGAAGCUUCACUCUGGUGAUCAAUCCAACUGCUUCACCGCUCCAAUCUUUGCAGAAAACCAAGGAGUCCAUGCUUUGCAUUCACACAGAGGGCCUUGGGUGUCAACCACACAGGUCAUUUCCCCUCUCAACAGUUCAGCUGGAGCUUCAACAGAAUAACCAGACAUAGCAGCCGAAAAAUCUUCCAGGGCAUCCCGGAAUCCUUCUGGGUCCAUCAGUCUCCGAAGGACUUUGUGAAGUCACUUGCUAAUGCUGUUUUACAGAUGAAGAAUAUAAGAAUCCUGAUGCGGUGACAGUCCUUCAAAGAGAGGAUCCUUGCCUGUAAGACAAGACUCCGGGCCACUUUACAUCAUCAACCUUUGCUUUUGUCAUAACAGACCUGAACACACAUACACACUAGUCAGGCUGUUGUUCUUCAGAGCAGUUAAGAAGAAAAGUGAAAGGAAGCUUUCAGAAUGAAAUGCUGUGUUGACCAGCUAAUCUUCUGUGUGAGUAUUAGAAGUAACAAGGUCCCUGUGCAUUCAAUGCACUGCAAGUAAGAUAAGACUGCUGAAAUUGCGCAGCACAAGUAUAACAUCCAAAUGAUGACACCUGGAGCUAUACUUAGCCAUUCUGGUAUCCAAGGCUUUGCCACCCUAUUGGUUAAGCUUAGGUCACUUGAGACUGCUAUAUGUAGGGAAAAGACAGAGACAGAGGAAUGGGGAGUAAUGCCAAGGUCUGAACACUUGGUGGCCAUAUUGGUUCCACACUAAGCCUGGCUGUUUUAUAAUUUUUUCCACCUCUAGAUGAGUGGCUAGAAAAAUUAUACAUCAUUGACAGGGGUACUUAUACUUGAAAAGCAAUAUGUAGGUUCACGUCCCUGCAGCAGAAAUUCCUGUAGUGUUUGAAUAUUGGUGGUGCCCUAGAUCAAAGCUUCAGUCAUCUCACCCUAGUUACACCUUGAGGACACCCAAGUUGAUUCCUCCUACUCGGUUUAAAUUCAAGGGAGUUGUUCUGAUUUUAAAUCAUUGUUUAAUGCUGGUAAUGAAGUGGAUGAGAGUGAAAAAAAAUUGAAGCCUAAUUCAGACAAGGCAAAAAUGCUCCUGGUCAGCCAAAAGGCAGAUCAGGAAAUACUGACUCAGCCUAUGCUGGAUGGGGUCAUACAGCUCAUGAAGGUUCAGGCUUGCUAAUUUGGCUGUACUGUUGGAUUCAACAGUACACGAGGUUUUGCCAAGCAUUCUAAUGCACAGCUGAGGAUAAGCUCACACUGUGCGCUCAUUCAUAAAGAUGUUGGAUAUAGCCCUAGUGACAUACAACUACAGUGACAUGUGGCUUCAUUACAUCCCUUUAGGAAUGCUGUAAUAUGCCAUGCAAGGGUUGCCUCUGAAAAAUGUUUGGACAUUUCACAUGAUUCAUGUAUCUUCAGUCAAACAGUGGACUGAGGUGAAUUAGACAAAGUAUGUCACCCUUUUGGUACAACAGCAUAAUUAAAAAUACUAAUGAUGAUCUACUCUACAAAGCUCAAUAAAACUAGC
Non-coding RNA from Pogona vitticeps (central bearded dragon), 2001 nucleotides. The record is from RefSeq and is a predicted model, not a curated record. Lineage: Eukaryota; Metazoa; Chordata; Lepidosauria; Squamata; Agamidae.